RNAcentral lists this ribosomal RNA (592 nucleotides) under Saccharomyces sp. 46ANBNE05. RNAcentral describes it as "eukaryotic LSU rRNA". It matches the Rfam family "Eukaryotic large subunit ribosomal RNA", at positions 38 to 643 of the family's 3401-position model. Lineage: Eukaryota; Fungi; Ascomycota; Saccharomycetes; Saccharomycetales; Saccharomycetaceae. The record is from RNAcentral.
GCAUAUCAAUAAGCGGAGGAAAAGAAACCAACCGGGAUUGCCUUAGUAACGGCGAGUGAAGCGGCAAAAGCUCAAAUUUGAAAUCUGGUACCUUCGGUGCCCGAGUUGUAAUUUGGAGAGGGCAACUUUGGGCCCGGCUCUUGUCUAUGUUCCUUGGAACAGGACGUCACAGAGGGUGAGAAUCCCGUGCGAUGAGAUGACCCGGGUCUGUGUAAAGUUCCUUCGACGAGUCGAGUUGUUUGGGAAUGCAGCUCUAAGUGGGUGGUAAAUUCCAUCUAAAGCUAAAUAUUGGCGAGAGACCGAUAGCGAACAAGUACAGUGAUGGAAAGAUGAAAAGAACUUUGAAAAGAGAGUGAAAAAGUACGUGAAAUUGUUGAAAGGGAAGGGCAUUUGAUCAGACAUGGUGUUUUGUGCCCUCUGCUCCUUGUGGGUAGGGGAAUCUCGCAUUUCACUGGGCCAGCAUCAGUUUUGGUGGCAGGAUAAAUCCAUAGGAAUGUAGCUUGCCUCGGUAAGUAUUAUAGCCUGUGGGAAUACUGCCAGCUGGGACUGAGGACUGCGACGUAAGUCAAGGAUGCUGGCAUAAUGGUUAUAU